GACGAACCGUGCGAACGUUGUUCGGAAUCACUGGGCUUAAAGGGCGCGUAGGCGGGCCUCCAAGUCCGGGGUGAAAUCCUCCCGCCCAACGGGAGAAGGGCCUCGGAGACUGGGGGCCUCGAGGGGGGUAGGGGCAAGCGGAACUGUGGGUGGAGCGGUGAAAUGCAUUGAGAUCCACAGGAACUCCGGUGGCGAAGGCGGCUUGCUGGACCCCUUCUGACGCUGAGGCGCGAAAGCCAGGGGAGCGAACGGG
Molecule: ribosomal RNA, 253 nt
Filed under: uncultured bacterium
Lineage: Bacteria
Description: partial 16S ribosomal RNA
Rfam family: Bacterial small subunit ribosomal RNA
Source: RNAcentral